CCUACGGGCGGCAGCAGUGGGGAAUAUUGGUCAAUGGAGGAAACUCUGAACCAGCAACGCCGCGUGAAUGAUGAAGGUCUUCGGAUUGUAAAGUUCUUUUCUAAGGGAAGAAGGAAGUGACGGUACCUUAGUACUAAGCCUCGGCUAACUACGGGCCAGCAGCCGCGGUAAUACGUAGGAGGCGGGCGUUAUCCGGAAUGACUGGGCGUAAAGGGGGCGUAGGUGGUUUGACAAGUUGGUAGCGUAACUCCGAGGCUCAACCUCGGAACUACUACCAAAACUGUCGGACUUGAGUGCAGGAGGGGCAAUUGGAAUUCCUAGUGUAGCGGUGGAAUGCGCAGAUAUUAGGAGGAACACCGGUGGCGAAGGCGAAUUGCUGGACUGUAACUGACACUGAGGCACGAAAGCGUGGGGAGCAAACAGGAUUAGAUACCCGGGUAGUC
Molecule: ribosomal RNA, 443 nt
Filed under: uncultured bacterium
Lineage: Bacteria
Description: partial 16S ribosomal RNA
Rfam family: Bacterial small subunit ribosomal RNA
Source: RNAcentral